This 424-nucleotide ribosomal RNA is filed under the name uncultured bacterium. RNAcentral describes it as "bacterial SSU rRNA". It matches the Rfam family "Bacterial small subunit ribosomal RNA", at positions 354 to 796 of the family's 1533-position model. The record is from RNAcentral.
GUAAGGAAUUUUCCGCAAUGGGCGAAAGCCUGACGGAGCGACGCCGUGUGUGUGAUGAAGUCUUUCGGGAUGUAAAGCACUGUCAGUGGGGACGAUAUUGACGGUACCCACAGAGGAAGGCCCGGCUAACUACGUGCCAGCAGCCGCGGUAAUACGUAGGGGCCAAGCGUUGUCCGGAAUCAUUGGGCGUAAAGGGCGUGUAGGCGGCCCGGUAAGUCAGAUGUUAAAUCCACAGGCUCAACUUGUGGCUGCAUCUGAUACUGCCAGGCUAGAGAAUGGUAGAGGAAAGCGGAACUUACGGUGUAGCGGUGAAAUGCGUAGAUAUCGUAAGGAACACCAGUGGCGAAGGCGGCUUUCUGGGCCAUUUCUGACGCUGAGGCGCGAAAGCCAGGGGAGCAAACGGGAUUAGAAACCCGGGUAGUCC